Molecule: ribosomal RNA, 567 nt
Filed under: Diversispora sp. S-MA-6
Lineage: Eukaryota; Fungi; Glomeromycota; Glomeromycetes; Diversisporales; Diversisporaceae
Description: SSU rRNA
Rfam family: Eukaryotic small subunit ribosomal RNA
Source: RNAcentral
UUGGAGGGCAAGUCUGGUGCCAGCAGCCGCGGUAAUUCCAGCUCCAAUAGCGUAUAUUAAAGUUGUUGCAGUUAAAAAGCUCGUAGUUGAACUUCGGGGUCUACCCAUUGGUCAGGCUUAAUUGUCUGCACUGGUGAGAUGGAUCUCUACCUUCUGAGGAGCUUUCAUGCCAUUUAUUUGGUGUGAUGGGAAAUCAGGACUGUUACUUUGAAAAAAUUAGAGUGUUUAAAGCAGACUAUCGUCUGAAUACAUUAGCAUGGAAUAAUGAAAUAGGACGGACUGAUUCUAUUUCGUUGGUUUCUAGGAUCACCGUAAUGAUUAAUAGGGAUAGUUGGGGGCAUUAGUAUUCAAUUGUCAGAGGUGAAAUUCUUGGAUUUAUUGAAGACUAACCACUGCGAAAGCAUUUGCCAAGGAUGUUUUCAUUAAUCAAGAACGAAAGUUAGGGGAUCGAAGACGAUCAGAUACCGUCGUGGUCUUAACCAUAAACUAUGCCGACUAGGGAUCGGACGAAGUUAAUUUUAUAAUGACGCGUUCGGCACCUUACGGGAAACCAAAGUGUUUGGGUUC